This 247-nucleotide ribosomal RNA is filed under the name uncultured bacterium. RNAcentral describes it as "partial 16S ribosomal RNA". It matches the Rfam family "Bacterial small subunit ribosomal RNA", at positions 524 to 769 of the family's 1533-position model. The record is from RNAcentral.
UACAGAGGUCCCCAAGCGUUGUUCGGAUUCACUGGGCGUAAAGGGUGCGUAGGCGGCCGGGUAAGUCUGUUGUGAAAUCCCGCAGCUUAACUGCGGAACUGCAGUGGAUACUAUCCGGCUCGAGGAAUGGAGGGGAGACUGGAAUUCUCGGUGUAGCAGUGAAAUGCGUAGAUAUCGAGAGGAACACCAGUGGCGAAGGCGAGUCUCUGGACAUUUCCUGACGCUGAGGCACGAAAGCCAGGGGAGC